This is a long non-coding RNA of Achroia grisella, 607 nucleotides long. RefSeq lists it as uncharacterized. The record is from RefSeq and is a predicted model, not a curated record. Lineage: Eukaryota; Metazoa; Arthropoda; Insecta; Lepidoptera; Pyralidae. The transcript is spliced from 4 exons.
AAAGAUUUGGUGCGUAAUAUGCGUGCGAACUCAUAUGCCGGUAUCAUCGAAAUUUACAGACCUACCAGUGGAAACUAAGGUUUUAUAAUUGGAAUUUGGAAUGCUGGGUGUAUUGGGCUGUAUUUGACUGUACACAUGCCACCCCAUUGUAAAUUAAGAAGAGAUAUUACUGUAGAAAACAAUACCAUUCAUUAAAUAUAUAAUUGGUUAGUAAUGCUGACAUGGAGAUUAUAAGUGUGGAUGCCAACUGGAACUGGAGCUACUCAUGACAUUUGGGCAAACCAGAGGCAUUAAGCAACAUCUAGAGGACUUAAGCUGGAAUAAAUCCUUAUGAUUACUUGGAGAUCCAGGAUAUGCUUUAGAGAAGUAUACUCCCAUCUCAAAUGCUAUACCAGGACCACAAGAAGCAUAUUACACUGUAAGAACAUGGAAUAUCAUUGAGAGCACAAUUGGGCUUCUAGAUUUAGAUGCCUACAUGUACUUUGAGCUCUUAUAGAGAACUAAAUGAAGGUCUAGCUGCUAGACAAACCCAUGUUGUUUAGUUGUGGAACUAAGAAAUUGAAACAUUUAUAAAUAAUAAUAUUGUUAAUAGGUCAAUGUUUUAAUU